CUGUAGAGACUACUUUUGACAUGCAAGUGUAAUUAGCUGCAUCAAGGGGUUAUAUUUAUCACUGCCCCCUGAAGAAAAGCAGGCGACUUACAGGUUUAUGGUUCCAGGGUGCGGUAAGGCUGUUUAUGUGUCUGGCUGUCUCAAAAGGCAAAAUUUAUCUGGAGGAGAUAACAGCAGGUCUGUCUGAAGCAAUUCCUCUGGCAAACAGAGACGGAUGGAGAAGUAAUACAAACAGAGGGAGCUGUGCUGGCCAAAAUAAAAACUCCCAAACUCAUACACUCACCCUUUCCUUCCUGUGCUGAUGCAGACCACCAGUCCCCUCAAGGAGGAAGCCUACUGCCAUGUUUUCUAUCUCAAGGUGAAGUUCCAGCUGCAGGUGCUGGAUGGGAAGAGGCGGCUGUAGAUAAAGAACUGGCCCAUCAAUCACAAAUGCCGUUAUAUGUGGGCCU
Pogona vitticeps (central bearded dragon) is the source of this 449-nucleotide non-coding RNA. The record is from RefSeq and is a predicted model, not a curated record. Lineage: Eukaryota; Metazoa; Chordata; Lepidosauria; Squamata; Agamidae.